GAUGGUGGGAUAAGUGCCACUGUUGGUGGUGUAACCUCUGUGGGUUUCAGAAAUGGCAGCAGUGCUCUGUUCUUAAUGCAACUACAGGGAAGUUAAAAUUAAGCAAGUUCCUAUUAUUAGUUUUUUUAUUGUUAUUAAUAUCUCAAUAUUUUAUUAUUCUUUAUAUGUUUUUUCCUCACCGUGAUUGCAACUCUUCAGCUGGGAUAUUUUGUCUUCUGUUUAUUCCUGGAAUCACUGGCAGCUCAGUUGGAAAAGGAUAUUGCAAUGGCCUGGUACCCUGAGCUGUUUGCACUGAUGUCCCCACAGAGGGGACACAGAGAGCUGGCUGGGAGAAGAAAAUGAACAGUUCUAUUUAUGCAGCACGUAAAUGAUCACGGAGCAAGAACGAUUUCCAUUUGCCUACAUUCUUUCCUGCUCUCAGCUGCCCCAGGUCAGGGUCUCCCUGUGCUGAGCAAGGGCACAGAUCUGGCUCAUGCUAGAGGGGUGAUGCAUUGCUGACAUCCCAUGGCUGACACCCAGGUGGGCUCGCAGCCCUGGCCAUAAGGAGCUCUCCUGGAGCAAAGCCCUGGAGCAUUGCAGCUGGUGCUGCUCUGUGCAGGAGCUCCCAUCUUCCCUCAGCACGUGUCCCUGUGUGAGAUCUGGAGUCUUUCAAGUCUGGAUAUGGGAG
This is a long non-coding RNA of Tympanuchus pallidicinctus (lesser prairie-chicken), 667 nucleotides long. RefSeq lists it as uncharacterized. The transcript is spliced from 3 exons. Lineage: Eukaryota; Metazoa; Chordata; Aves; Galliformes; Phasianidae. The record is from RefSeq and is a predicted model, not a curated record.